RNAcentral lists this ribosomal RNA (850 nucleotides) under uncultured bacterium. Its description in RNAcentral is "bacterial SSU rRNA". It matches the Rfam family "Bacterial small subunit ribosomal RNA", at positions 50 to 928 of the family's 1533-position model. The record is from RNAcentral.
GCUACCUGCAGUCGCACGAGAAAGGGUAGCAAUACCUGAGUACAGUGGCGCACGGGUGAGUAAUUCAUGAAUCAUCUACCUUCGAGUGGGGAAUAACUGGGAGAAAUCUCAGCUAAUACCGCAUAACACCUACGGGUCAAAGCAGCAAUGCGCUUGAAGAGGAGUUCGCGGCAGAUUAGUUAGUUGGCGGGGUAAUGGCCCACCAAGACGAUGAUCUGUAUCCGGCCUGAGAGGGCGCACGGACACACUGGAACUGAAACACGGUCCAGACUCCUACGGGAGGCAGCAGUGGGGAAUUUUGCGCAAUGGGGGAAACCCUGACGCAGCAACGCCGCGUGGAGGAUGAAAUCCCUUGGGAUGUAAACUCCUUUCGAUCGGGACGAUUAUGACGGUACCGGAAGAAGAAGCCCCGGCUAACUUCGUGCCAGCAGCCGCGGUAAUACGAGGGGGGCAAGCGUUGUUCGGAAUUAUUGGGCGUAAAGGGCGCGUAGGCGGUUUGACAAGUCUGAUGUGAAAUCUAUGGGCUCAACCCAUAGCCUGCAUUAGAAACUGUCGGGCUUGAGUAUGGGAGAGGUGAGUGGAAUUUCCGGUGUAGCGGUGAAAUGCAUAGAUAUCGGAAGGAACACCCGUGGCGAAAGCGGCUCACUGGACCAUAACUGACGCUGAGGCGCGAAAGCUAGGGGAGCAAACAGGAUUAGAUACCCUGGUAGUCCUAGCCCUAAACGAUGAUUGCUUGGUGUGACAGGUACCCAAUCCUGUCUUGCCGAAGCUAACGCGAUAAGCAAUCCGCCUGGGGGAGUACGGUCGCAAGGCUGAAAACUCAAAAGGAAUUGACGGGGGGCCCGCACAA